AAUUGUUUAGUUUAAUGGAAUAUUUUAUUGUAGCUAAAAAGGAGUAACAAUUA
Molecule: transfer RNA, 53 nt
Filed under: Brentisentis yangtzensis
Lineage: Eukaryota; Metazoa; Acanthocephala; Palaeacanthocephala; Echinorhynchida; Leptorhynchoididae
Description: tRNA-Tyr
Source: RNAcentral